UACAGAGGGGGCAAGCGUUGUUCGGAAUUACUGGGCGUAAAGGGCGCGUAGGCGGCCUGCUAAGUCGAACGUGAAAUCCCCGGGCUCAACCCGGGAACUGCGUCCGAUACUGGUGGGCUUGAAUUCGGGAGAGGGAUGCAGAAUUCCAGGUGUAGCGGUGAAAUGCGUAGAUAUCUGGAGGAACACCGGUGGCGAAGGCGGCAUCCUGGACCGGUAUUGACGCUGAGGCGCGAAAGCUAGGGGAGCAAACGGG
RNAcentral lists this ribosomal RNA (253 nucleotides) under uncultured bacterium. RNAcentral describes it as "partial 16S ribosomal RNA". It matches the Rfam family "Bacterial small subunit ribosomal RNA", at positions 524 to 776 of the family's 1533-position model. The record is from RNAcentral.